UUCCGGUUGAUCCCGCCGGACCCGACUGCUAUCAGAGUGAGAUUAAGCCAUGCGAGUCAACGUAGUAAUACGUGGCACACGGCUCAGUAACACGUAGUCAACAUAACCAAAGGACGUGGAUAAUCUCGGGAAACUGAGGCUAAACCGCGAUAGACCAAGAUACCUGGAAUGGUUUUUGAUCAAAAUCUAUAUGGCCUUUGGAUUGGACUGCGUCCGAUCAGGCUGUUGGUGAGGUAAUGGCCCACCAAACCUAUAACCGGUACGGGCUCUGAGAGGAGGAGCCCGGAGAUGGGUACUGAGACAAGGACCCAGGCCCUAUGGGGCGCAGCAGGCGCGAAACCUCUGCAAUAGGCGAAAGCCUGACAGGGUUACUCUGAGUGACUUUCGCUAAGAAAGUCUUUUGACAUCUGUAAAAAUGGUGUAGAAUAAGGGGUGGGCAAGUCUGGUGUCAGCCGCCGCGGUAAUACCAGCACCCCGAGUGGUCGGGACGAUUAUUGGGCCUAAAGCAUCCGUAGCCGGUUUUACAAGUCCUCCGUUAAAUCCAACUGCUUAACAGAUGGGCUGCGGAGGAUACUAUAAGACUAGGAGGCAGGAGAGGCAAGCGGUACUCAGUGGGUAGGGGUAAAAUCCGUUGAUCCAUUGAAGACCACCAGUGGCGAAGGCGGCUUGCCAGAAUGCGCUCGACGGUGAGGGAUGAAAGCUGGGGGAGCAAACCGGAUUAGAUACCCGGGUAGUCCCAGCUGUAAACGAUGCAGACUCGGUGAUGGACCAGCUUUAUGCUAGUCCAGUGCCGCAGGGAAGCCGUUAAGUCUGCCGCCUGGGUAGUACGGUCGCAAGACUGAAACUUAAAGGAAUUGGCGGGGGAGCACCACAAGGGGUGAAGCCUGCGGUUCAAUUGGAUUCAACGCCGGG
RNAcentral lists this ribosomal RNA (912 nucleotides) under uncultured crenarchaeote. RNAcentral describes it as "bacterial SSU rRNA". It matches the Rfam family "Archaeal small subunit ribosomal RNA", at positions 1 to 922 of the family's 1478-position model. The record is from RNAcentral. Lineage: Archaea; Thermoproteati; Thermoproteota.